RNAcentral lists this ribosomal RNA (492 nucleotides) under uncultured bacterium. RNAcentral's name for it is "partial 16S ribosomal RNA". It matches the Rfam family "Bacterial small subunit ribosomal RNA", at positions 29 to 507 of the family's 1533-position model. The record is from RNAcentral.
AGUGAACGCUGGCGGUAGGCCUAACACAUGCAAGUCGAACGGCAGCACAGUAAGAGCUUGCUCUUACGGGUGGCGAGUGGCGGACGGGUGAGGAAUACAUCGGAAUCUACUUUUUCGUGGGGGAUAACGUAGGGAAACUUACGCUAAUACCGCAUACGACCUACGGGUGAAAGCAGGGGAUCUUCGGACCUUGCGCGACUGAAUGAGCCGAUGUCGGAUUAGCUAGUUGGCGGGGUAAAGGCCCACCAAGGCGACGAUCCGUAGCUGGUCUGAGAGGAUGAUCAGCCACACUGGAACUGAUACACGGUCCAGACUCCUACGGGAGGCAGCAGUGGGGAAUAUUGGACAAUGGGCGCAAGCCUGAUCCAGCCAUACCGCGUGGGUGAAGAAGGCCUUCGGGUUGUAAAGCCCUUUUGUUGGGAAAGAAAAGCAGCAGGUUAAUACCCCGCUGUUCUGACGGUACCCAAAGAAUAAGCACCGGCUAACUUCGUG